This 224-nucleotide long non-coding RNA is filed under the name Homo sapiens (human). Its description in RNAcentral is "HSALNT0330308". The record is from RNAcentral. Lineage: Eukaryota; Metazoa; Chordata; Mammalia; Primates; Hominidae.
AUUCCGUGGACAGCCAGCUGGGCUGAUGGCAGGCGUGGGAGCUUCCCUAAUGCCUCUGUGGCCUUGGAAGAACAGAGCCAAGUGCCUCAGCUAGAAACUUGGAUUUCAGCUGGGGGUGGUGGUAUAGAGAGAACUCAAAGGAAAUGAACCCCUCUGAGAAGCACUCACUCUAAGAGACACCAGUGUCUCAACUCUUGGGCGUUCCCAGUGGGCCAGCCAGACCU